Molecule: ribosomal RNA, 1241 nt
Filed under: metagenome
Description: bacterial LSU rRNA
Rfam family: Bacterial large subunit ribosomal RNA
Source: RNAcentral
UGAUGACGAGACGCUAAGGCGUUGAAGCAGUGUAUGUCAGACUUCCAAGAAAAGCUCGCAAUGUCACAAAUAAAAAGUGCCUGUACCAUAACCGACACAGGUGGGUAGGUAGAGUAUACUAAGGGGCGCGAGAUAACUCUCUCUAAGGAACACGGCAAAAUGACUCCGUAACUUCGGGAGAAGGAGUGCCUUAUUUAUGAGGUUGCAAUAACAAGAUCCAAGCAACUGUUUAUCAAAAACACAGGUCUCCGCUAAGUCGCAAGACGAUGUAUGGGGGCUGACGCCUGCCCAGUGCCAGAAGGUUAAAGAAGUUGGUUAGUGUAUGCGAAGCUGAUGACUGAAGCCCUGGUGAACGGCGGCCGUAACGGUAACGGUCCUAAGGUAGCGAAAUUCCUUGUCGGGUAAGUUCCGACCCGCACGAAAGGCGUAAUGAUUUGGAUACUGUCUCGGAGAGAGGCUCGGUGAAAUAGACUUGUCUGUGAAGAUGCGGACUACCUGCACCAGGACAGAAAGACCCUAUGAAGCUUUACUGUAACUUGAAAUUGGAAUUGGACUUUGCUUGCGCAGUAUAGGUGGGAAGCGUUGAAAAUAUUCUUGCGGGAGUAUUGGAGCUAUCAGUGAGAUACCACUCUUGUAAUGUUAGAUUUCUAACUUUGAACCAUAAUCUGGUCAAAGAACAGUUUCAGGUGGGCAGUUUGACUGGGGCGGUCGCCUCCCAAAUGGUAACGGAGGCGUACAAAGGUUUCCUCUGAACGGAUAGAAAUCGUAUCUAGAGUGUAAAGGCAUAAGGAAGCUUGACUGUGAGACCUACAAGUCGAGCAGGGACGAAAGUCGGUCUUAGUGAUCUGACGGUACUGAGUGGAAAGGCCGUCACUCAACGGAUAAAAGUUACUCUAGGAUAACAGGCUGAUCUCCCCCAAGAGUUCACAUCGACGGGGAGGUUUGGCACCUCGAUGUCGGCUCAUCGCAUCCUGGGGCGGUAGUACGUCCCAAGGGUUGGGCUGUUCGCCCAUGAAAGCGGUACGCGAGCUGGGUUCAGAACGUCGUGAGACAGUUCGGUCCAUAUCCGGUGUAGGCGCUAGAAUAUUGAGAGGAGCCUUCUUUAGUACGAGAGGACCGAGAAGGACACACCGCUGGUGUACCAGUUAUCGUGCCAACGGUAAACGCUGGGUAGCUAUGUGUGGAGUGGAUAACCGCUGAAAGCAUCUAAGUGGGAAGCCCACCUCGAGAUGAGUAUUCUC